This 495-nucleotide ribosomal RNA is filed under the name Triticum aestivum (bread wheat). RNAcentral's name for it is "partial small subunit ribosomal RNA". The record is from RNAcentral. Lineage: Eukaryota; Viridiplantae; Streptophyta; Magnoliopsida; Poales; Poaceae.
AUGCUUUGGAAGAAGCUUGUACAGUUUGGGAAGGGGUUUUUUGAGAGAAAAGAAGAAUCUACUUCAACUGUUAUGCCCUUAGGCACGGCCAUGCAUAACAUGGAAAUCACACGUGGAAGGGGUGGGCAAUUAGCUAGAGCAGCAGGUGCUGUAGCGAAACUCAUUGCAAAAGAGGGUAAAUCGGCCCCUUUAAGAUUACCAUCUGGUGAGGUCCGUUUAGUAUCCCAAAACUGCUUAGCAACAGUCGGACAAGUGGGUAAUGUUGGGGUGAACCAAAAAAGUUUGGGUAGAGCCGGAUCUAAGUGUUGGCUAGGUAAACGCCACGUAGUAAGAGGGGUAGUUAUGAAUCCUGUGGACCACCCCCAUGGGGGCGGUGAAGGGAAAGCUCCCAUUGGUAGAAAAAACCCACAACCCCUUGGGGUUAUCCUACGCUUGGAAGAAGAACUAGGAAAGGAAAAAAAUAUAGCGAUAGUUUUAUUCUUCGUCGCCCUCUGA